This 394-nucleotide small RNA is filed under the name Pan troglodytes (chimpanzee). Its description in RNAcentral is "retained intron". Lineage: Eukaryota; Metazoa; Chordata; Mammalia; Primates; Hominidae. The record is from RNAcentral.
AGGAAUUUUUAUUUUCAUCUGCCUCAGUGGAGUGAUUAUAUAGUAUGCUAAGUAAUCUUUCAUUUCUUACAGAAGACGAUCACCUUCUCCUUAUUAUAGUCGAUAUAGAUCACGAUCAAGAUCUCGUUCCUACAGCCCAAGACGCUAUUGAUAACGGAAUGGUUGCAAUUAAGGACAUUUUUUUUCCUCUUUUUUUUUUUUUUUUUUUAAAUUCUGAGAUUUCCCCCAAGCUUUGGAUUCUUCCUACUCCUUAAGAAAAAAACUUUGGUUUAUUUAGCAUCUACACUUUUGUCAAUUGUGUUGCUGUUUUCCACCCAUUUUAUUAUACUCUUAAAGAUGUAAUUGUUGUCAUUUUAAACAGUUAAACAUCUUGAGUAUAAAAAGAACCCCAAUG